Molecule: long non-coding RNA, 675 nt
Organism: Thalassophryne amazonica
Lineage: Eukaryota; Metazoa; Chordata; Actinopteri; Batrachoidiformes; Batrachoididae
Exons: 2
Source: RefSeq, a predicted model, not a curated record
UUGCAUGUUUUGUUUUUCCCCCCACAUGUAUUUGCAGCAUUCCUGUAGUUUGCCUGUUGAGCUUGUCAACAGGAAUGUGAGCAGCUAAUCCUGAUGUGAUGGAAGCUUUUCCCGCCAGGUCAGUGUUGGCGUUUCAGAGCCGGCGGACAGUGUUAUGGAAAUCUGCCCCUCCAUUCUGUCAUUGUUGUGCGGUUUAAGGGUGCUCAGUCUUCCCCCUUUUUGAAAGGACUGCGAGAGACUGGGUGCACGAGGACGUACGUGUGAGUGAAGCUUCUAAUUUAAUGACCAAAGCUGAUGAUCUGUCAGACGGCUGUGGUCGUCAACAGCAACAUCAUUAGCUUCCUCUAGCUGCCAUGGCAACCGUGAGAUGCAUGAGUACAGACGAUAUAACUUCAGGUACCUCAAAAUACGCUUAGUUUGCCCACUUUUUGUGGUCAGUCAUAUAUAAAAAAAAAACUUCACUUUCAGAACGUAACAAAGCUUAAUGCAUCUUGGUUUUUAAUUCAUACAGUUUAUAUGUACAUCCAUGUUCAGUCAUAGUUUCCAGAAUGCAGCAAAUUCCAUCUUUACAGCUAUACAGUGUUCCAGUUAUGAGUAUAAAACAAAGAGUUAAUAAUAAUAAUAAUUAAUCAUAAUCCUGGUUUGAUCGUACAGCAGUUUUCCAAAAGAAUGACA